GAUGAACGCUGGCGGCGUGCCUAAUACAUGCAAGUCGAGCGAACGGACGAGAAGCUUGCUUCUCUGAUGUUAGCGGCGGACGGGUGAGUAACACGUGGAUAACCUACCUAUAAGACUGGGAUAACUUCGGGAAACCGGAGCUAAUACCGGAUAAUAUUUUGAACCGCAUGGUUCAAAAGUGAAAGACGGUCUUGCUGUCACUUAUAGAUGGAUCCGCGCUGCAUUAGCUAGUUGGUAAGGUAACGGCUUACCAAGGCAACGAUGCAUAGCCGACCUGAGAGGGUGAUCGGCCACACUGGAACUGAGACACGGUCCAGACUCCUACGGGUGGCAGCAGUAGGGAAUCUUCCGCGAUGGGCGAAAGCCUGACGGAGCAACGCCGCGUGAGUGAUGAAGGUCUUCGGAUCGUAAAACUCUGUUAUUAGGGAAGAACAUAUGUGUAAGUAACUGUGCACAUCUUGACGGUACCUAAUCAGAAAGCCACGGCUAACUACGUG
This 497-nucleotide ribosomal RNA is filed under the name uncultured bacterium. Its description in RNAcentral is "partial 16S ribosomal RNA". It matches the Rfam family "Bacterial small subunit ribosomal RNA", at positions 28 to 507 of the family's 1533-position model. The record is from RNAcentral.